UCAUGUUAUAUAAUGUAUUUUGGUCAUACAGUCCCUUAGCCCACUGCAGUUAAUCUGUGUGUCUCUGUGUGUGUAUGCGUGUACGGCUACAUCUUCCAUCAUCCUGAGUUUUCUCCAACUCUGAAACCUUAACAGAGCUGUCUUGAAGUUUCCCACCGCAGGGGAGCAUGAAUUUGUCUAUGGGCAGAUGCAUGGAAGAUCUGGGCUUUCCUGGAACAGCUGUUGGUUCCCUUAAGUGUUCCACAUGGGUUGCUCCAACCAUUUCCCAUGCCGCCUCCCAUCUCCAGAGUGCCCUGGCCAUACCCUCUAAAUUCUCUUGAAGUCAAAGCCUUUUUCAGGGAUCAGCUUCCACAGAAGAGAAAGAUCUUUUUCUAGAAGCAUCUAUCAACAAAAAAAGCCAUGGUGGGGUAAAGUUUGUUAUUUUGGGUUUUGUUGUUGUUUGUUUUGAGACAGUUUUCUCAGACAGCCCUGGCUGUCCUGGAACUAGCUUUGUAGACCAGGCUGGCCUUGAUCCCCCUGCCUCCUGAGUGCUGACACCAAAAGCGUGCUUCACUACAGUCCAGCUCUAGCUGUGCCCCAGAGAAUGUUUUUGUUUUGUGCAGGGCAUGGAAUCAAGGCGUCGCCCAUGAUAAGCAAACAUUCUACCAAAUGAACAUCCCCAGCCUGUCCAGUAUUGUUUCUGAUCCCCAUUUGGGUAGGCCUCGGGAGGCGGACACUAAAUAGAAACAACAUCAAGCCAUCCUCAAGUUAUGCCAUCCUCAAGUUUGGCCAUAGUCAUCUGGCUCUCCUUAAUGGAGAGGGUCAUGCGCUAGUGCUCCCUUCCAGAUCUCUAGAGCCACACAGAGCCUCACGCGGGCACCAGAUCUAGGCUGUGAGCUCCAGUCCAACUCAGGUGACCAUUCAAGAACUGGGCACACCUGGCGCUGGGCCCUAACCCCGCCCCGGGCAGCCGCACCCCGGACGCUCUCGGGGAGCAGGCGGCGGCGGGCCACCGAGGGCCAUGGCGGCGGCGGCACCGGUGUGCGGCUCGCAGGCGUCCACGGCCGGCGCCGCGCCCGCGCCCGCGCCCGCUCCCGCUCCCGCGGCCGGCCUGGGCCGCUGCCGCAUGGCGCUGCUGCUGGCGGUAGCCUUGGACGUGGCGGGCAUGGCGGCGCUGCUGACCGGCGUGUUCGCGCAGCUGCAGGUGCGCGGCCGCGACUUCGGGGACCUGCUCAUCUAUUCGGGGGCGCUGCUGGUCUUCUUGAGCUUGCUGGGCUGGAUCCUCUGGUACACCGGCAACAUCGAGAUAUCGCGCCAGGAGCUCGAGCGCGACUACGGCCUGCGGCCCUCGGCGAUCGCCCGCCUCGCGCGCAAGCUGUCCCGCCGCUGGUCGGCGCCCGCCACCGCCAGUCCCCGGGGGACACCGGGUCUCCGCGCCGCGCACAGAGCGGCCCGCGCGCCCCAGCCGGCCGCCCCCGGCUCCCGCCGCGUGCGUCUGCAGCUCGCCACGCUUGAGGCGGGGCCCGGAACGGCGGGCGCGGGCAGCGAGUGAGCCUCAGCAAAACGGGCUGGAGAGAUGGCUCAGAGGUGAGAGGACCAACUGCUCUUGCAGAGGACCUGAAUUCCAUUCCUAGAACCCAUAUGUCAGCUCACAAACACCCUCAUCCUCAACCUGACGAGAUGUGCCGCUGCCCUGUUCAUCACUUAGCCCCAGGAAACCCAACUGUCCCCUCACUUGGAUAAAUGUUUCAGUUUGGA
Meriones unguiculatus (Mongolian gerbil) is the source of this 1737-nucleotide RNA transcript. It is a transcript of the gene named transmembrane protein 238, with no coding region annotated. The transcript is spliced from 3 exons. Lineage: Eukaryota; Metazoa; Chordata; Mammalia; Rodentia; Muridae. The record is from RefSeq and is a predicted model, not a curated record.